This is a non-coding RNA of Protopterus annectens (West African lungfish), 463 nucleotides long. Lineage: Eukaryota; Metazoa; Chordata; Ceratodontiformes; Protopteridae. The record is from the annotation of a RefSeq genome assembly.
CAUUUAAUGCAGCGAGCAGUUAGGCACAAGUAAGAACAAUGAGACAGGUUUACUUUGUCACUUUUCUUCUGACAUUGUACACAGGUGUGCAGAGUCAGGAAGUAGUAACACAGACACCACACGCACUUGCUGUAAAUGAGGGAAAUGAAGCGCAUUUCUCCUGUAAAGUCAGAGCUACUGAUGAUGCUAUCUUUUGGUACAAACAGAUGCCUAACCAUGGAUUAGAGCUCAUGAUUAAUACAUUUGCUGUAACCAAAACUAAUGGUCGGUUCAAGCUGACAAAACACAAUAACACUUUCUGGAUGUUUAGUCUCAGUAAGGUGAUAUUACAAGAUUCUGCCUUACACUUCUGUGCAUCGAGUAGCACAUAGGUACAGAUGCAGGAACUGCUGAAACAUAAAGUACAUCUUGUCACGAAUGUCUGUAGUACUGAUACACUCUGGCAAGGAACAUCAAAUUUCUC